CGACAGCAGGGACCCUCUACCCAAGAGUGACAGCCGCCUUGACCACCAGAGAUGAGGCUCAACACCAACCUUUAAAGUUUAAUGGUUCUAUUAAAAUGCUUUCAUAAGCAUUAAUACAUACUCAUACAUUUUGCAGUGAUAUUUUAAAGAAAAGAUUUCACAAAUUCAGUUUAUAAAUCCAACUUUCAACAAGUCUGAGAAAGAAAGAACUCUCCAGCAUGGAAACCUGGCCAUCAUUUGCUGUGAACACUCGUGUGCCUGAAAGCACUCGAUAUAGAACGGCCCUGAGUGAGCAUACUCGGGCAUACAUCUGUGCUGCAUCAUAUCUACUGGACAGACACACCAGGCAGAGGCUACAACAAAAGAAUUCGCCCAGGAACAUAGCCUUACUGCGUCCCGGGCUCUACACAGGCUCGAGCUGGUCUUGACAUUCAGAACUCGGCUGUGGGGCGGCUCUUCCAAGAAGGUUCUCCCGAAGACCGAAGACGGGGAGAGGUGUUUCUGCCGGAGGUGGGAUCGGUCUCCACGGCCUCGAUGACAGCUCCAGUUCCUCUCCGAUGAUCCGCGCUAUUUGCUGUUGUUUCUCCACACUGGAGGGCGCUGGGCAGGGAGGAGCUGUCUUGCUCGUCAUUGUAUCCGCAGAGCUCAGCCCUGUCCCAUCCGAGACACAGUGGGCCUCAGAGUAACGUUGAUGAAUAAAAGAAGACAGUUCAUGGAAAUAGAAAGAUGGGAGGAGAGACAUACCUAUGAGUGAGGGAGAUGGGAGAGUUGGGUUGAGGUGAGAAGCUGUUUAUUUCCUGGGAACUUGGGAGCCUGAGGUGCCCUGCAGUCCCGCCCGGAGGUGACAACACCACUCAUGACCUCUGGCCUGCAGGUGGGCUGUGUCGUGCAGGUGUGUCUCCACCACUGCUGAGGAUGGGGCAGCUGUGUCGCAGGUCUGAGGUGGGACUUGGGCUGCAGCAACAGCAGCAGACAGAGGGGUCCACCUCAGAGUUCCCGGAGGCACAGGGCGGCCGCACGUCCGUCGGCAUCAGCCCCUGUGCCGAGACCCUGUAGAGUGGCAGCCCGCUGUGGCCCUGAUGAGAACACGACCUCCACCCUGUCCAGGGCUUCGGGUCAAAUGGAGUCAGCGCUCGGAGGAGCAGAAGGUGUCAGCCGAGAGGCUGGGGUCACUGUAUGUGGUCCCUUGGGUUCAGACAGUGGUAGAGGCCUCGAGAAGACACUGCCCUCGCCAAGAACUCAGCCUUCUAACUCACCAGUUCCCUUAUUUUCCUGCUCACUACACAGAAGAUAGAAGCAUACCUCUCGCAAAGUUAUUUUUGCUGCUCCACUCAUUUCAGAAAAUUGAGGAUGGCUUUACAGACCUUGAAAACUCCCUCUGAAAUAAUGCUUUCCAACCUAGAAACCUCCCAGACUGGGGUCUGCGUGGUCCAAACAAUCCCAGGCUCCUACAGGCUCCUGGCACCGUGCAUUUCCUUCCUGUUGUGCCCCAAGGAGAUGCCAGAGCUUCAAAAAUAGAUUAAGCAAACCUUUGCAUAGAUGAGUAGAGGUGACAUUUGUCAACAGGAGAAAGGACGCAGCCAUAGCUUCCUAGAAGGUCCAACCAAUGUAAUUACCAAGGCUUCCUGACAUGCAGGUCCCAAACGGCCAUCUUCCUUUUUUACAUGGGGUCUUUGGACAAAUAGAAUAAUUUUCCAUGUUUUCUACUAAUCAUCUCUGGGACUUCAG
This 1728-nucleotide long non-coding RNA is filed under the name Heterocephalus glaber (naked mole-rat). Its description in RNAcentral is "lncRNA (ENSHGLG00100027013.2)". Lineage: Eukaryota; Metazoa; Chordata; Mammalia; Rodentia; Bathyergidae. The record is from RNAcentral.